Non-coding RNA from Acanthosepion pharaonis, 113 nucleotides. The record is from the annotation of a GenBank genome assembly. NCBI's taxonomy places the organism in Eukaryota, Metazoa, Mollusca, Cephalopoda, Sepiida, Sepiidae.
UUACGGUCAUAUCAGGUUAAAACAACGGUUCUUGUACGAACACCGAAGUUAAGCAACGUCGAACCUAGUCAGUAACUAGAUGGGUGACCACUCGUGAAUACCAGGUGCUGUAA